CGGGGCGUAGCGCAGCCUGGUAGCGCGCCAGCUUUGGGAGCUGAAAGUCGUGGGUUCGAAUCCCACCGCCCCGACCA
This 77-nucleotide transfer RNA is filed under the name Lentisphaerota bacterium. RNAcentral describes it as "Lentisphaerae bacterium (freshwater sediment metagenome) tRNA-Pro". It matches the Rfam family "tRNA". From Rfam's summary of the family: Transfer RNA (tRNA) molecules are approximately 80 nucleotides in length. Their secondary structure includes four short double-helical elements and three loops (D, anti-codon, and T loops). The record is from RNAcentral. Lineage: Bacteria; Pseudomonadati; Lentisphaerota.